This 496-nucleotide ribosomal RNA is filed under the name uncultured bacterium. Its description in RNAcentral is "partial 16S ribosomal RNA". It matches the Rfam family "Bacterial small subunit ribosomal RNA", at positions 28 to 507 of the family's 1533-position model. The record is from RNAcentral.
GACGAACGCUGGCGGCGUGCCUAAUACAUGCAAGUUGAGCGCUGAAGGUUGGUACUUGUACCGACUGGAUGAGCAGCGAACGGGUGAGUAACGCGUGGGGAAUCUGCCUUUGAGCGGGGGACAACAUUUGGAAACGAAUGCUAUACCGCAUAAAAACUUUUAACCCCAGUUUUAAGGUUGAAAGAUGCCAUUGCCUCAAUCAAAGAUGAUCCCGCGUUGUAUUAGCUAGUUGGUGAGGUAAAGGCUCACCAAGGCGAUGAUACAUAGCCGACCUGAGAGGGUGAUCGGCCACAUUGGGACUGAGACACGGCCCAAACUCCUACGGGAGGCAGCAGUAGGGAAUCUUCGGCAAUGGACGAAAGUCUGACCGAGCAACGCCGCGUGAGUGAAGAAGGUUUUCGGAUCGUAAAACUCUGUUGGUAGAGAAGAACGUUGGUGAGAGUGGAAAGCUCAUCAAGUGACGGUAACUACCCAGAAAGGGACGGCUAACUACGUG